This is a long non-coding RNA of Acinonyx jubatus (cheetah), 805 nucleotides long. RefSeq lists it as uncharacterized. The transcript has 4 exons. Lineage: Eukaryota; Metazoa; Chordata; Mammalia; Carnivora; Felidae. The record is from RefSeq and is a predicted model, not a curated record.
GAUUUAAAGGUGCUUGGUGGCGGUGGGGGGGGGGGGGGUCCAGCUGUAAAAUGUCAUCCCAGCCAGUGUGACAUCACCACAGUCUAGUGUGACACCCCCAGAGAUUGGGCAGCGCGCAGGGAGGCACUGCCUACCCGGGAAGCCACCCUGCUGGUGAGGAAUUACCUCAGUUUAGGCUUUAACGUUUCGUUGCAGGCUAGAGACGUUCUAGCAGAGUGGCCUCCAUGUACGGGAUCUGGAAGCCUCCACGUACAUCAGGAGCCCCUCACUAAGGCUCUUCCACUGCCGCCUUAGGAACCUGGGUUUGCAUUAGGAGACAGGAACUUCACAGAAGAAAUUCUUUUGCUCCUGCCUCUCUUUUUGCUGAGACAAAGGAACAAAGACACCAGGCCUGGAGCUGCCAUGGCCAUCUUGUGACCAUAAAUGUGAUAGCAAACAAAGAUGGACACAGUCAGCGUGCUGAGGACAGCAAAGGAGACAGAUAGAAAGAACGGGUCCUUGAUGACAUAGGAGGCACGAGCUCUUAAGUAUGACAGGUACUCCUUGGAAAGAAGUUAUUGGUAUUUACUAGCCUGCCUGAGAGCCAUGGGGUUAGAAACUAAAACCAGAGAAGAUGAGUGUCGUGUACAAAGCUGAGAAGUCAAGUACCCACCUGUGUUAGCAAUCCGCCUAGGAUAAUCAGGUCAUGAUCUCACAGUUCAUGGGAUGGAGCCACAGCACAGAGCCUGCCUGGAAUUCUCUCCCUCUUUCUCCCUGUACCUCCCCUGCUCUUCCCUGCCCACAGUGCAUGCUCUCUCUCUCUGUC